Molecule: ribosomal RNA, 278 nt
Filed under: uncultured Christensenellaceae bacterium
Lineage: Bacteria; Bacillati; Bacillota; Clostridia; Christensenellales; Christensenellaceae
Description: partial 16S ribosomal RNA
Rfam family: Bacterial small subunit ribosomal RNA
Source: RNAcentral
GCAGCCGCGGUAAUACGUAGGGGGCGAGCGUUGUCCGGAAUGACUGGGCGUAAAGGGCGUGUAGGCGGCCGAUUAAGUCUGGAGUGAAAGUCCUGCUUUCAAGGUGGGAAUUGCUUUGGAGACUGGUUGGCUUGAGUGCGGAAGAGGUAAGUGGAAUUCCCAGUGUAGCGGUGAAAUGCGUAGAGAUUGGGAGGAACACCAGUGGCGAAGGCGACUUACUGGGCCGUAACUGACGCUGAGGCGCGAAAGCGUGGGGAGCGAACAGGAUUAGAUACCCC